UACUAUUUAACUUAGGUACAACCCUGCCCUCUGACUUUUAACAGCCGCGGUAUCCUAACCGUGCUAAGGUAGCAUAAUCACUUGCCUAUUAAUUAUAGGCUAGAAUGAACGGGAUCACUCACUUAAACUUAUUUUUAUUUAAAUUUAAAUUAAACUUUAAGUCAAAAUACUAAAUUAAAAAGAAAGACAAAAAGACCCUGAAAACUAUUAGAAAUAAUUAGUUGGGGCAACUAUAGACCACUCUAGCGUCUAUUUUUUUUAAACUCUUAAAAUCUAAAGUAUCCAGUUACUUCAGGGAUAACAGACUAAUUUUAUUAUUUAGACCCAAUAAAUAAUAAAGAUUGGCACCUCGAUGUUGGCUUAUAUUUCCUUCAUAUAGCAACAUAUAUAGAAGGCAGCUUGUUCAUCUGUUAAAUAUUUACAUGAG
RNAcentral lists this ribosomal RNA (427 nucleotides) under Stygocapitella sp. 219_13. Its description in RNAcentral is "partial large subunit ribosomal RNA". It matches the Rfam family "Archaeal large subunit ribosomal RNA", at positions 1964 to 2673 of the family's 2987-position model. The record is from RNAcentral. Lineage: Eukaryota; Metazoa; Annelida; Polychaeta; Parergodrilidae.